Molecule: transfer-messenger RNA, 367 nt
Filed under: Candidatus Amesiibacteriota bacterium
Lineage: Bacteria; Candidatus Amesiibacteriota
Description: Candidatus Amesbacteria bacterium transfer-messenger RNA
Rfam family: transfer-messenger RNA
About the family: Bacterial tmRNA, also known as 10Sa RNA or SsrA, is named for its dual tRNA and mRNA-like properties.
Source: RNAcentral
GGGGGUGCUAGGCACUCGACAUUCUAGAACUUUAAAAAGCUGCAAGCCGAGUUUGAACCAUACUCGUAAAACAGAUUCAAAACACAAGUGUCAAUUUUAUGGCACAAUUCAAACAAGGAUUUGCUGAUCUCAGCAACUAUCUGUUUGGACCUCGUUUAGCAUUCGCUUAACGAGCAUCUUGUACUUUCUUUCUCGACUGAGAAUACAAGGUGACAACCAAUCGAGAUGCUAUACGCAAGUUCCAAUUAGCUGACGCGUAUUUAAGAAAACCUAAUUGACAGUCGCUCCGAACUUCAUCGGAGACAAGCUUGUAGAUGCUUUCGAAGAACUAUUAUGGACGUGGGUUCAAAUCCCACCACCUCCACAC